This 207-nucleotide unclassified non-coding RNA is filed under the name soil metagenome. RNAcentral describes it as "partial contains 5.8S ribosomal RNA, internal transcribed spacer 2, and large subunit ribosomal RNA". The record is from RNAcentral.
AACAUCGCGCACCUGCGGGAACCUGCGGAAGGAUCAUUACCGAGUUUACAACUCCCAAACCCCUGUGAACAUACCUAUACGUUGCCUCGGCGGAUCAGCCCGCGCCCCGUAAAACGGGACGGCCCGCCCGAGGACCCCUAAACUCUGUUUUUAGUGGAACUUCUGAGUAAAACAAACAAAUAAAUCAAAACUUUUAACAACGGAUCU